CCCUAUGGGGCGCAGCAGGCGCGCCAGGGUUCCCAGCGCAUCCACCAGCCGCGGCCCCGGGCGGCUGAUCAGGUUGUCAUCAAAAACCAGGAUCUUGCCGCUCUCUACUGCCGCAAUCGCAUCCCAGCCGGGGCGGGCCGCCACCUGUUCGGGCGUCAUGCCGUAGGCGGCAUCACCCAGCAGAAUGAUCUCCGGGUUGGCCACAAUCAGUGCUUCCUGGCUGAUCUGUGCCCAACUGGAAUCCAUUUCAUCCCCCACAUUGCGCCCGCCUGCCAGGCUGAGCCACUUGCGCAUAAAGGUAUCCGGUCCGGCAGUCCAGGGUUUGGCGGGAGGGC
This 335-nucleotide ribosomal RNA is filed under the name uncultured prokaryote. RNAcentral describes it as "partial 16S ribosomal RNA". The record is from RNAcentral.